UGGCGGGUAGCUCAAAUGGUAGAGCGCCAAUUUUGCCUGAAAAGGACGCAGAAUUGAGGGUUAUCGCUGAAAAUCGAAUACCUUAAUUCGCCGGAGAUGCGGGUUCAAUUCUCGCUCUGCUAC
RNAcentral lists this transfer RNA (123 nucleotides) under Aliterella atlantica CENA595. It matches the Rfam family "tRNA". From Rfam's summary of the family: Transfer RNA (tRNA) molecules are approximately 80 nucleotides in length. Their secondary structure includes four short double-helical elements and three loops (D, anti-codon, and T loops). The record is from Rfam by way of RNAcentral. Lineage: Bacteria; Bacillati; Cyanobacteriota; Cyanophyceae; Chroococcidiopsidales; Aliterellaceae.